This 133-nucleotide small nucleolar RNA is filed under the name Octodon degus (degu). Its description in RNAcentral is "Small nucleolar RNA SNORA40 (ENSODEG00000022449.1)". It matches the Rfam family "Small nucleolar RNA SNORA40". Rfam says of the family: The snoRNA ACA 40 belongs to the H/ACA family of snoRNAs and guides the pseudouridylation of 28S rRNA subunit at position U4565. NB This family has a high threshold value to exclude a large number of closely related sequences that do not appear to have conserved H and ACA boxes, and may be pseudogenes. Lineage: Eukaryota; Metazoa; Chordata; Mammalia; Rodentia; Octodontidae. The record is from Rfam by way of RNAcentral.
GGCACUUACGUAUGUUUUUGACUUUCCUUUUGUGGACUAAAACUUAAACGAACAGGUGCAAAAAAUGAAUCCUCUUUUGCAACCUAGAGCUCAUUGUUUGGUAUGAGUUUUGAUGCAUAAAAGAAGGGAUUUU